This 514-nucleotide ribosomal RNA is filed under the name Samuelsonia sp. JGZ-93. RNAcentral's name for it is "partial 12S ribosomal RNA". The record is from RNAcentral. Lineage: Eukaryota; Metazoa; Arthropoda; Insecta; Coleoptera; Chrysomelidae.
ACAUAUUUUAGAGCCUAAUUCAUCUUGAUUAACAAUCAAAAUUACAUUCAAAUCCAAAUUUAAAAUUUUAAUGCUAAAAUUUUUCCUCAAAUAAAUUUAUUGUAAUCCAUCUCUACUUUUUUAAGCUGCACCUUGAUCUGAUUUUCAAUUUAAUAAAAUAUUUCAAUUAUAUAUUUCCAAAAAUAAUUUUUAACGACGAUAUACAAGCAAAAAUAAAGUUUUAUUAAUCGUGGAUUAUCGAUUACAGGACAGAUUCCCCUGAUUGGAAUAAAAAACCGCCAAAUUUUUUGAUUUUAAAGAACAUAACUUUUAUUAGUCAAGUCUUGAUAUAUUUACAUCUAGAAUAAUGGGGUAUCUAAUCCCAGUCUAACUACUAGAUUUCUUAACUUCACAAUCAAAAAUUUAAUUUAAUGAAAAAUAAGAUUUCACCCAAUAUUUUCCAAAAUAAAAAUUAAUUUCUAUUAAUUAAGUAUAAAAACUGUUUUAAAAUAGUAGCAUUAUUUGUUUAACCGCA